Molecule: ribosomal RNA, 259 nt
Filed under: Bacillus subtilis
Lineage: Bacteria; Bacillati; Bacillota; Bacilli; Caryophanales; Bacillaceae
Description: partial 23S ribosomal RNA
Rfam family: Bacterial large subunit ribosomal RNA
Source: RNAcentral
AGGAUAUGAGAAGGCAGACCCGGGGAACUGAAACAUCUAAGUACCCGGAGGAAGAGAAAGCAAAUGCGAUUCCCUGAGUAGCGGCGAGCGAAACGGGAUUAGCCCAAACCAAGAGGCUUGCCUCUUGGGGUUGUAGGACACUCUGUACGGAGUUACAAAGGAACGAGGUAGAUGAAGAGGUCUGGAAAGGCCCGCCAUAGGAGGUAACAGCCCUGUAGUCAAAACUUCGUUCUCUCCUGAGUGGAUCCUGAGUACGGCG